Molecule: long non-coding RNA, 3510 nt
Organism: Meriones unguiculatus (Mongolian gerbil)
Lineage: Eukaryota; Metazoa; Chordata; Mammalia; Rodentia; Muridae
Exons: 4
Source: RefSeq, a predicted model, not a curated record
UUGAAUAGCAUAACAGUUUUAAGUCAAAACACUGUAAAUUGUUACUGAUGUGGUUGCCAUCAGGGAACUCAGCUAUGGAAUGUAUAAGCUACUUGAGUUUCUCUGUUAACCACCUAAAUGAAAUGAGCACUUAAGCAAAGGAGCUAGAAGAUUACAGUAUACUUGCUACUUUCAUUACCUUUUGGCAGGGGUAAUCUUUGAGCAUGUUAUUUUGCCUCUUGAGCCUUAGGAGUGUCUGUGUCUGUUAGGAGUUGAAUUUGAAAUGGCCCUCUCAGGCUUGUAUUCUGAGUGUUUGUUCCUUAGGUGGUGGUACUGUUUGAGGGAGGGUAUGGAGCCAUUAGGAGGCAAGAACUGGCUAGUAAAAUUUGUGAGUAAGGGCCUUUGAAGGUUGUCGCCAAGCUCCUGAUUCCAGCUGCUUUCUGCUCCCAGGUCCACCACAGCGAUGACAGGACAGUAGCCAGAGUCAUACACUCCUGCAGUGAUGAACUCCACUAUGCCUCCCUCAUUGUGACAGUCUAAGACCAUGAACCCAAAGAUUCUUUCAGCCCUCAGUCAUCUUUGUCAGGUCACAGGGAAGGGAAAGUCACUGAUGAAUCUUUGAGAUAGGUCUGUAAGUUUUCUCAAGGGUAUUUUAAGGCUUCCAUGAGAUGUUAAGAUUUUUUUUUAGGUGUUCAAGUUUCACAAAUGAAGAAAUCACCUUCCACUACACAUUUUGUAUGUUAAUCAAGUGAUGUGCUAGUCUUUUGGUUCACUGACAAAAAGAUCUUGAAGACCUAAGAGCUUUGUCAAGAAGCAAUUUAUUUACCUCCUUGUCUCUGAGGACAUCAUUAAAAAAUGCCGAAGAUGGGCUGCUGCUUGGGGUGCCACAGGAAAAGGUAUCUGGAAGUCUGAGCAUACUUUGGACCUCAUGGAAUGGCAACACAUGUUAUAAAACCCAGUUGAAAUGUAUGUGGAGGCAUGGCUAGAACAUUUUUCCUAGAAAAGGAGAAAUAAGACUGACUUCUUAAGGAUCUGGAUUCGGGACUAGGAAGAAAGUGGAACUGAAAUUCAAAUUCUUUCUUGCACCUGAGUAGAGUCUCCUCCUUCUUCCCUAAUAACCCCCUUCCAUUUCCAAGAGUUCCUCCAUCCGCUCUAGAUGGGAUAACAAGAAUGAGGACAUUCUCAAGUAAACAAGGAUCAUCGAUGGAAAGAGAAGCCAUAUGAGCUUCGAUGGCUCUGCUGGCUGCUGAUGAGGUAGCAAGACAUGAGGUGGCUUUGUCCAGAACACACGCAUACUCGGGAUCCGUGGUACUUUCUCUUGCUACUCUCCUAUCGAAGACUCAGCGAUGCUACUUGUGAUAAAGUGGUGUGGUGUUUGGCUUUGUUUAUAGACAGCUUGUAGCACCAGUAUUGAAUUUGAAACCUGAUUCUGCUUGAGUGAUCUCAAGUAGGAUGAUUAACUUCUCUAGGCCACGAGGCCCUUCUUUGGGAGGUGAUAUUAGCAAAACUUUACAGCAUGGGGUUGUUGGAGAGCAUAGGUUAUAUUAUAUUAAUUAAAAUAUUUUCAUAUUUCUUUUUAAAAUUUUAAUUUAAAAUUUUUUCUUCACAAUUUAUUCAUCAUAUAUUCUGAUUUAAGUCCCCUCCCUCAACUACCCCGAGUCCCAAACUCCCUCUGUUUUUCCCCCAUUACCUUCACCUAGUCCACUGAAAGGGGGAGUUCUCCGUUAUUGCCAUCUGCCCAUAGUUUGUUAAGUCUCAUAAGGACUACCUGGAUCCUUUUCCUUGGUGGCCUGACAAGGCUGCAUCACCAGGGGCAAGUAAUCAAAGAGCAGGCAAUAGAGUUCAUGACAAAGGCAACCCCUGCUCCCCUCACUCAGAGAUCCACAUGGAGGCUGGGCUGCCAAUUGGCCACAUCUGAGCAGGGGGUCUAGGUCCUCUCCAUGCAUGGUCCUCCGUUGGUGCAUCAGACUCUGCAGGACCCCCUGGGCUCAGAUCUUUUAGUUUUGUUUGUCUCCUUGUGGGGCUCCUGUCCCCUCCAUGUCCCUCUAUUUCCACCCCUUUCUUCCUCUAGAAGACUCCCUGCCCUCUGCCCAAAGAUUAGCCCUGAGUCUUAGCAUCUGCUUCGACCCCCUUGUUGGGUAAAUCAAUUCAGAGGACCCCUAUAGUAGGCUCCCAAGGAGGACCCUAGGGAGGAUGCUUGAAUCUAAUUAAAAAUUUAAUAUGACUUAAGCUGUAUAGCAAUGGUUUUACAUAUAUGUAUAUAUGUGUGUGUGUGUGUGUGUGUGUGUGUAUAUAUAUAUAUAUAUAUAGAUAGAUAGAUAGAUAGAUAUGAGUUCUCUUUCUCUCAAAUAAUGUAAAGGCAAGCUUGGAUGAUGAUCACCUGAUUACCAGAUUGUCCUGCUUUGGAUUAAAAAAGUCAACUAAGUCUUACAGUCAUAAACGGGAGAUAUGUACAAACUGCUUAACACACAAUUGAAAAAUUUACUACAUCCACUCACAUAGACAUUCUUUCAAGUAGAUCCACCCCACAGCAGACACUCAGUUUUGAACAAGGAAGGGAUCACUUUAUACAUGCAUGGUUACUACUAAGGAAAUCAGCAAGUCUCGGUGUGUCUGGGUUUACGGAGACCAUUCAUUGUCGAAAUUUUAUUUGUGUCUAUAUCAAAGCCCAGGGAAUAAGUUGAGCAAAGUAUUUCAGCCCCAUUUUCUACUUGAGAAAAUUAAGAUGCAAGAAUUUCCAGUUGCUGCCUGAAUGCCAUAAUUAGAACUUGGAGCUCAGUUUUGCUGAUUUUGUUUUUUGUUUUGUUCUUUUACUUUUUACUUUUCUUAAAACUGUCUUGUUCUUUGGGAGAGUGUAUGGACUCAAUAAAAUAAGAUACAGAUAUUAUUUGAGAGUAAUUUAUUUUGACAGUCUCCUGAAAAAACUAAAAAUUUGCAGACACUAUAACCUAGCAAGUUGGUGUCUAAAGACUGUCUUCAAAGGUGUUCAAGAAGCGUGGUGACACAUGCCUUUACUUCCACAACUCAGGGAGGCAGAGGCAGGUGGAUCGCUAUGAGUUUGAAGCCAGCCUGCUCUACAAAUGAGUCCAGGGCAGCCAAAUUACAGAGAAACACUGUCUUGCAAAACAAAAAACAAAACAAAACAAAACAAAACAAAAAAACAGGAAAACAAACAAAAAGGUGUCCAAGAACAGAAGAGCAAGGACAUUGACCUCAGCAUUGUUUGGUAAUAGAAACUUGGAAGCAACCUAAUGUCCAUAUGUAGAAGAAUAAGAAAUAUUUUCUUCUCUUCAAGUAAUGAUUGUUAAAAUAGUAAAUUACUCUCAUAAAUGUGCUAUUGAAUUAAAUAUUUUAGAAUAGCCCAUAUAGCAGAAUAGCAUUCAUAAAGCAUUUUAAAGUUGAAUACUAUAUACUUUUAAAAAUAUAAAUUUGCUGUAAUAGUGAAUACCUUUAAGAUCACAUAACAAUUUCAAUGUAGUAUUUACUUUGGAGAAAAAAGGGGGAACCUGACAAGGAGAGCAAAGUUGCCUU